AUAUUAGCAAUUUUCUCUAGCCAUUUGCCCCUCCCACACACCCAGACAAGAAUUUUAUUAACAUGACAGCAAGGGGUCAUUCUUGAAAUUUACAGCAAACAUGCUUCAGACAAAUCAAAGAUGGCCAUUAAAUCCUAGUGUCACUAAAUAUCAGGAUACCAGCCCUGUAAUAACUAUGUCAUGCACAUGCUCAGUGGCAUUGUUUUUCUGAGCAGCACCUUAGAUUGCAAUCUAUAGGCAGUAUGAUAAAAAGAGAUGUUACACACCUUUCUUUGCCCACCCCAGGAAGCAAAAGGGUAGCAAUCCUCCUUACAUCAUCAUCAUUGGUAAUAUUAGUCAAUAUCCAAUACGGCUAAUCCAGGAUCUGGCAAUGUGAUCUUAAAUCUUCAUUACACAGACUAAACUUUCCUAUGGGCCGAAACACUCAGGGUCAGCAGCGUGGUAAGAGCAGGGGGUAAAGAGGCACAACUGGGCCUCUACUACAUGUGCUCUGCUGGAGCAGCAAGAUGUGCCCUAAUGAUAUUUUUCAUAAUCGGAUCUGUGCAAUGUAUUAUCAAGGUGCAGAAGCCCUGAUGGUCCUCUCAGAGAACAUUUUUGGUUUCAAGUCUACCAACAUAUAUGAAAAGGACCUAAUGAACAGCCACCCAACUGCAAGACUCCCUUUGUGCUAGGCAAUGGAUAAACAUAUAGCGGGCUUGUGACCAGUCAGAACUUGGCAUGUGGAUGAUCUGUUUUCCCAUCUAUUUUUUCCUCUUCCAAGGAAAGUCCCAUGCAAAGAGGCCCUAAGACUCAGAUAAGUACCCCUUUUAUGAUCAUGCCCUUCAACUAGUUAUCAUAGGCCUGAUUUUUACCAGCACUGAGUCCCCAAGGCUUCUGGUU
Molecule: long non-coding RNA, 879 nt
Filed under: Dromaius novaehollandiae (emu)
Lineage: Eukaryota; Metazoa; Chordata; Aves; Casuariiformes; Dromaiidae
Description: lncRNA (ENSDNVG00000005107.1)
Source: RNAcentral